AUUGCCCCAGUAACGGCGAGUGAAGCGGCAACAGCUCAAAUUUGAAAUCUGGCUCUUUUAGAGUCCGAGUUGUAAUUUGCAGAGGGCGCUUUGGCUUUGGCAGCGGUCCAAGUUCCUUGGAACAGGACGUCACAGAGGGUGAGAAUCCCGUACGUGGUCGCUGGCUAUUGCCGUGUAAAGCCCCUUCGACGAGUCGAGUUGUUUGGGAAUGCAGCUCUAAAUGGGAGGUACAUUUCUUCUAAAGCUAAAUAUUGGCCAGAGACCGAUAGCGCACAAGUAGAGUGAUCGAAAGAUGAAAAGCACUUUGGAAAGAGAGUCAAACAGCACGUGAAAUUGUUGAAAGGGAAGCGCUUGCAGCCAGACUUGCUUGCAGUUGCUCAUCCGGGCUUUUGCCCGGUGCACUCUUCUGCAGGCAGGCCAGCAUCAGUUUGGGCGGUAAGAUAAAGGUCUCUGUCACGUACCUCUCUUCGGGGAGGCCUUAUAGGGGAGACGACAUAUUACCAGCCUGGACUGAGGUCCGCGCAUCUGCUAGGAUGCUGGCGUAAUGGCUGUAAGCGGCCCGUCUUGAAACACGGACCAAGGAGUCUAACAUCUAUGCGAGUGUUUGGGUGUCAAGCCCGAGCGCGUAAUGAAAGUGAACGGAGGUAGGAACCCGCAAGGGUGCACUAUCGACCGAUCCUGAUGUCUUCGGAAGGAUUUGAGUAAGAGCAUGGCUGUUGGGACCCGAAAGAUGGUGAACUAUGCUUGAAUAGGGUGAAGCCAGAGGAAACUCUGGUGGAGGCUCGCAGCGGUUCUGACGUGCAAAUCGAUCGUCAAAUUUGGGCAUA
RNAcentral lists this ribosomal RNA (827 nucleotides) under Alternaria quercicola. Its description in RNAcentral is "eukaryotic LSU rRNA". It matches the Rfam family "Eukaryotic large subunit ribosomal RNA", at positions 74 to 919 of the family's 3401-position model. The record is from RNAcentral. Lineage: Eukaryota; Fungi; Ascomycota; Dothideomycetes; Pleosporales; Pleosporaceae.